GCCGACUUAGCUCAGUUGGUAGAGCAACGGUUUUGUAAACCGUAGGUCGUCAGUUCAAGCCUGACAGUCGGCUCCA
This 76-nucleotide transfer RNA is filed under the name Candidatus Saccharimonadota bacterium. Its description in RNAcentral is "tRNA-Thr". It matches the Rfam family "tRNA". From Rfam's summary of the family: Transfer RNA (tRNA) molecules are approximately 80 nucleotides in length. Their secondary structure includes four short double-helical elements and three loops (D, anti-codon, and T loops). RNAcentral also lists the same sequence under 1 other name. Lineage: Bacteria; Candidatus Saccharimonadota. The record is from RNAcentral.